RNAcentral lists this long non-coding RNA (456 nucleotides) under Homo sapiens (human). Its description in RNAcentral is "non-protein coding lnc-PP2D1-1:1". The record is from RNAcentral. Lineage: Eukaryota; Metazoa; Chordata; Mammalia; Primates; Hominidae.
UCCCCCAGACUGCACAUUUGGAGCUUGUCUCCGUCCUGAGGAAUAUGGAGUUGGUGAUCUCAUCCAUAAUAGACUUCCGGAUGAAUAUCUUCGAGGCAAGGAUAGACAGCGAGCCCUGAUUGCAGCAGUUCGGCAUCACCUGAAGAAAGUUAAUUACCAAAAGUUUGACACUUUGCUGGCAGCCUUCAGGCACUAUGACAAGGUAGAAAACCAGAUUGUGUAAACCCUACUGAGGCUAAUGUUGAAGAACCUGAACAAACUCUCCUCAUAAAGCCAGAAGAUAUUGUCUUAAAAGAAGCAGGAAGCACAGAAAAGACUCUCCGGACACUUCUGAGACCAAGUGAUAAAGUUUCCAACUACUAUAAGACAACUUCUUCUGAGAUCAAUGCAAUUGUAGGAGCCAUUCCUUCUACUUGUAUGUCACUUAUUUGUCAAGUUUUAAAAGCAUCAACAAAC